This 311-nucleotide ribosomal RNA is filed under the name uncultured bacterium. RNAcentral's name for it is "bacterial SSU rRNA". It matches the Rfam family "Bacterial small subunit ribosomal RNA", at positions 28 to 334 of the family's 1533-position model. The record is from RNAcentral.
GAUGAACGCUAGCGGCAGGCUUAACACAUGCAAGUCGAGGGGCAGCAUAGAUUGCUUGCAAUCUGAUGGCGACCGGCGCACGGGUGCGUAACGCGUAUGCAACCUACCCUAUACAGGGAGAUAGCCCGAAGAAAUUCGGAUCAAUAUCCCAUGGUAUUGUUUUUUCGCAUGAAAGGACAAUUAAAGAUUUAUCGGUAUAGGAUGGGCAUGCGUUAGAUUAGUUAGUUGGAGAGGUAACGGCUCACCAAGACUACGAUCUAUAGGGGGCCUGAGAGGGUGAUCCCCCACACUGGUACUGAGACACGGACCAG